UCCGAAUGGGGAAACCCACUGCUUCGGCAGUAUCCUGCAGUGAAUUCAUAGCUGCUGGAAGCGAACCCGGUGAACUGAAAUAUCUAAGUAACCGGAGGAAAAGAAAUCAACCGAGAUUCCCUAAGUAGUGACGAGCGAACGGGGAACAGCCCUUAAGCUGGAAUGGCUUUAGAAAAACAAUCUGGAAAGAUUGGCCAUAGAAGGUGAUAGCCCUGUAUUUAAAAGGGCCAUUCCAGUGAAGACGAGUAGGGCGGGGCACGUGAAACCCUGUCUGAAUAUGGGGGGACCAUCCUCCAAGGCUAAAUACUCCUGACCGACCGAUAGUGAACCAGUACCGUGAGGGAAAGGCGAAAAGAACCCCGGAGAGGGGAGUGAAAUAGAUCCUGAAACCGUGUGCGUACAAGCAGUAGGAGCUCGCAAGAGUGACUGCGUACCUUUUGUAUAAUGGGUCAGCGACUUACUGUUCGUGGCAAGCUUAACCGUAUAGGGGAGGCGAAGGGAAACCGAGUCUGAUAAGGGCGCAUAGUCGCGGGCAGUAGACCCGAAACCGGGUGAUCUAGUCAUGGCCAGGGUGAAGGUGCCGUAACAGGUACUGGAGGCCCGAACCCACGUCUGUUGCAAAAGACGGGGAUGAGCUGUGAUUAGGAGUGAAAAGCUAAUCGAACCCGGAGAUAGCUGGUUCUCCUCGAAAGCUAUUUAGGUAGCGCCUCGGACGAAUACUACUGGGGGUAGAGCACUGUUAUGGCUAGGGGGUCAUCGCGACUUACCAAACCAUUGCAAACUCCGAAUACCAGUACGUACUAUCCGGGAGACACACGGCGGGUGCUAACGUCCGUCGUGAAAAGGGAAACAACCCAGACCCACAGCUAAGGUCCCAAAUUCACUGCUAAGUGGAAAACGAUGUGGAAAGGCACAGACAGCCAGGAGGUUGGCUUAGAAGCAGCCACCCUUUAAAGAAAGCGUAAUAGCUCACUGGUCGAGUCGGUCUGCGCGGAAGAUUUAACGGGGCUAAGCAGUGAACCGAAGCUUGGGGUGCAUAAAACUUGUUUUAUGCGCGGUAGAGGAGCGUUCCGUAAGCCUGCGAAGGUGGAUUGAGAAGUCUGCUGGAGGUAUCGGAAGUGCGAAUGCUGACAUGAGUAACGAUAAUGCGGGUGAAAAGCCCGCACGCCGAAAGCCCAAGGUUUCCUUGCGCAACGUUAAUCGACGCAGGGUUAGUCGGUCCCUAAGGCGAGGGCGAAAGCCGUAGUCGAUGGGAAGCAGGUUAAUAUUCCUGCACCUCGCGUGAGUGCGAUGGAGGGACGGAGAAGGUUAGGUGUACCGGGCGUUGGUUGUCCCGGGGAAAGGCGGUAGGUUUGGAUCUUUGGCAAAUCCGGGAUCCUUUAAGACCGAGCACCGAGACGAGCCUUUAUGGCGAAGUCACUGAUACCACGCUUCCAGGAAAAGCUCCUAAGCUUCAGCUCACGAAGACCGUACCGUAAACCGACACAGGUGGGUAGGAUGAGAAUUCUCAGGCGCUUGAGAGAACUCGGGUGAAGGAACUAGGCAACAUGGCACCGUAACUUCGGGAGAAGGUGCACCCUUUUUGGUGGCUCAUGCGAGCUAUAGCUGAAGAGGGUCGCAGAAACCAGGCCGCUGCGACUGUUUAUCAAAAACACAGCACUCUGCAAACACGAAAGUGGACGUAUAGGGUGUGACGCCUGCCCGGUGCUGGAAGGUUAAUUGAUGGGGUCAGCCGCAAGGCGAAGCUCUUGAUCGAAGCCCCAGUAAACGGCGGCCGUAACUAUAACGGUCCUAAGGUAGCGAAAUUCCUUGUCGGGUAAGUUCCGACCUGCACGAAUGGCGUAACGACAGCGGCGCUGUCUCCACCCGAGACUCAGUGAAAUUGAAAUCGCUGUGAAGAUGCAGCGUUCCCGUGGCAAGACGGAAAGACCCCGUGAACCUUUACUAUAGCUUUACACUGAACGUUGAGUUCGUCUGUGUAGGAUAGGUGGGAGGCUAUGAAACUGUGGCGCUAGCUGCAGUGGAGCCAUCCUUGAAAUACCACCCUGUCGUGCUUGACGUUCUAACCUAGAUCCGUUAUCCGGAUCAGGGACCGUGUAUGGUGGGUAGUUUGACUGGGGCGGUCUCCUCCUAAAGAGUAACGGAGGAGCACGAAGGUACGCUCAGCGCGGUCGGACAUCGCGCACUGUGUGCAAAGGCAUAAGCGUGCUUGACUGCAAGAUCGACGGAUCAAGCAGGUACGAAAGUAGGUCUUAGUGAUCCGGUGGUUCUGUAUGGAAGGGCCAUCGCUCAACGGAUAAAAGGUACUCCGGGGAUAACAGGCUGAUACCGCCCAAGAGUUCAUAUCGACGGCGGUGUUUGGCACCUCGAUGUCGGCUCAUCACAUCCUGGGGCUGUAGUCGGUCCCAAGGGUAUGGCUGUUCGCCAUUUAAAGUGGUACGCGAGCUGGGUUCAGAACGUCGUGAGACAGUUCGGUCCCUAUCUGCCAUGGGCGUUGGAAGUUUGAGAGGGGCUGCUCCUAGUACGAGAGGACCGGAGUGGACGAACCUCUGGUGUUCCGGUUGUCACGCCAGUGGCAUUGCCGGGUAGCUAUGUUCGGAAGCGAUAACCGCUGAAAGCAUCUAAGCGGGAAGCGCGCCUCAAGAUGAGACUUCCCGGGGCACAAGCCCCCUAAAGGAACCAUAUAGACUAUGUGGUUGAUAGGUCAGGUGUGU
RNAcentral lists this ribosomal RNA (2714 nucleotides) under Xanthomonas pisi. RNAcentral describes it as "bacterial LSU rRNA". It matches the Rfam family "Bacterial large subunit ribosomal RNA". Lineage: Bacteria; Pseudomonadati; Pseudomonadota; Gammaproteobacteria; Lysobacterales; Lysobacteraceae. The record is from RNAcentral.